Molecule: ribosomal RNA, 188 nt
Filed under: fungal sp.
Lineage: Eukaryota; Fungi
Description: partial small subunit ribosomal RNA
Rfam family: Eukaryotic small subunit ribosomal RNA
Source: RNAcentral
CCGCCGUAAUUCCAACUUCAAUAGCGUAUAUUAAAGUUGUUCCAGUUAAAAAGCUCGUAGUUGAAUUUCGGGACUGGGCGGGCGGUCCGCCCUUGGGCGUCACUGGGUCUGGCCGGUUCUUUCCUCUUGGUGAAUCUGAUGCUAUUAAUUUGGGGGCGUGGGGAAACCAGGACGUUUACUUUGAAAAA